GGCCGGCACCGCCCCCGGACCCAGUGCGACCGGCGCCGCCCCCGGACCCAGCCACCGGCGCUGCCCCCAGACCCAGCCACCGCCGCCGCACUCAGACCAGCCACCUCCUCCGCCCUCAGACCCAUCCACCUCCAUGGGAAAACGCUGCCGGCACUCUCCACCUUUAACCCCAGUCGCUGCUUCCAACCUGCGAGGCCAGGAACCAGCCCCUGUCGCCCCUCCCGUGCCCGUCCAGUUCAGAUGAGGUUCCUUGCUGCCUGAUGGAUAAUUUGAAAAAGAAUUUCGAGUCGAACAAUUGCAAAAAUUCAGAGGAGACAAAUGGGAGAAGUUCAAAGAAAAUUCGGACUUGUAUAGUAACGAAGGAGGAAGCGGCAGCGCCGCAAGGUCCAGGAAUACAGUUCAGAUGAGGUUCCUUGCUGCCUGAUGGAUAAUUUGAAAAAGAAUUUCGAGUCGAACAAUUGCAAAAAUUCAGAGGAGACAAAUGGGAGAAGUUCAAAGAAAAUUCGGACUUGUAUAGUAACGAAGGAGGAAGCGGCAGCGCCGCAAGGUCCAGGAAUACAGGUAAAAAAGAAAUGAACUUGCGCGUCUUGACGCCAUGACAAGCUAGCUCUUUGAGCACUUUGGAGACCAUGUGCAUAGUAAGAACUAGAAACAAAUGCUCACUUUCAGUACAAGACAGUGUGGUGGAAAUCUAUGGAUGGAUGAUGGUUAGUGUGGUUGAAUGGUUCAGUUUGCUUGCGUAUUUCUCAUUGUUCAGCUCAGUUUGGUUAUGCUACUCGAAUGGUUCAGAAGCACAGGUUUGAAGAUGAUUUCUCUGCAUGUUUUGGUUUUGCCUUUCCUGCUGAUCCGUUUCUUCUCUGAACUUUCAGUUAUGGUUGCUUAUAGAGAAGAGAGAUGGUCAAUACUGUUUGCUUGUGUAUGCUAGUGAAGUGGCAUGAUUCAUUUUUCUUGUGUGUGCAUGCUACUUAUAGUUCAAAAUUGUUCGCUUGUAUAUGCUACUGUAAGUGCCUAUGUUGAAGCACACUAUUUAAGUUUGUUUUACACACAGAACUUCAACUAGAAACUUUUGAGAAAGUACGCCCGCUUUGUUUUUGUGAAAAGUUCAAGUAUGAUUGUUUGAAAAGUACAAAAAUGAAUGUCUUGAAGAACAUAAAAAAACAAAAAAAUAUGUGUUAAAUGCCUUAGACGUGAGUCCUCUAAAGCUAAUUAAUAGUCUGUAUAAUAGCAAACUUUAAGCUGUCUUUCAUUUCCUUAUCUUAUUUCAGUGAGCUCCAAUAAACUGAUGUUCUUAUUUCAGUGACACACUCAGUUUAGUUCCCAUAUUUUACUUCAGUUCAAUAGAUAAAUCAUAAGAAGUAAAAAUAACUCCUUGACUGUACUGAUUUAUAGCAGUGUAGUUUGCUUCCUUUAAAAUUCAGUUAGUUCACCUUGGCUAGCAACUCCCGCGCCAAAGCCACCCUGAGAGCGUACAGGACGGCGACGUGUUCGAGGACUGCGACCGUUGGCAGAUACAACUAAAUUUAGGAUGUUUUUGAUGCUCUUUUCUUUUUAAGUGUGUUCAAGAAUAUCAUCUUGAAAAUGCUAAAAGAGAAUUGUAGUCUUCUCGCUCAACAAAAGUUUGGAUUCUAAAGGUAUUUAUGAAGGUUUGUCAGUUCCAUGUGCAUGUUUGAUCAUGUUUGGAUUUUCCUUCGAGAUUUUUUACAAGUUAAAACAUAUAGCAGUCAAGUGUAUAGAUACAUAAGUUCAGUACAUAGAUGAUGGUUCAGUUUUGCAGGAACGGGUGAGUGUCUUCAUCCAAGACAUGAGCGACGAGUCAGCCAUGACAUCAUAAACUGGUUCAGUUCCACUUCGCCGGCCAAAUCAUGGCGCACCCAGCCGCCGCUCGUGAUCCCCGCUCUUUCAGCUCCAUUCGUCAGUGCCGCCAGUCGACAGGAGUAGGAGCGACGUGCCUGUCAACCAACAAGAACAGAAGGAGCCAACCGGACGUCUUUGUCUAGCCUGACUUGGGACGGCUUCUUUGCAACUUCAGGUUAGAAAGUUCAACAUGUGAUUGGAAUUCAGUGCGAAAAACUGCAGGUUAGAAGUUUAUCUUCUGUGCUGCCCCCGGAAAGAAGUUUGUCUUCUAAAGGUUGAAGCUAAUGGGCUAGGAAGCUUUAUAAGGAAUUGAUCAGAGAAGGUGCAUCAUGGUAAAAGCUUGGAUCGGUGUGUGGCCUAGAAUAGCAUGAAUCCCUCAUGUACUAUGAACAUAUUUAGAGUUUAACUAAUCAGUGGAAGUUUUGCUUCUGAAAACUGACAUUGUUCGGCAUGUAUUGUUCAGCAGUGCAGGUUCUCCGGGGCGCCAAGUAUUGCCAGCAGCGAUGCCUGCAUCAUGGCCCAUUCGAGAGAUGCUAUUUUUGUGUAUGCAUAUUUAUCCAUUUAGUUUUCUGUUCUGUCUUUUGCCCCAAUUGAUCCUUGUGUUAUUUUUUUAUAUGUUGUGCACUUAUCCCAUCGUGAAGUGAAAAAUGACAAGCGAGCUAAGUACUAGUUCGGAAAGUUUGCAAGUUCGAACACAUGAACCUAAAAAACUUCAUUGAAAAAGUUUGGUUUGCCUGUGCCAUAAAAAUGUCUUGCUAAAGAAAUAUCUCUUGUGCACUUAUUUAUUCGCUUGAAUAUUUGGUUUGAUUGUCAGGUGUGAGAUGGCGGCCGCCGAUGUCGCUAAAUCCCUCUACAAACUAGUGGUUGGCUGCUCCCAGCAGUAAAUGUGGCCGGGUUCAGCAGCUAGCGCUUCCUCGAUCAACCAUUUGGAGCACUUUAUUGCGUUCAUGUGGUGGUGAUUGAUUUUAGGAUCAGUAAAUUUGAUGUUGGUAGCUAGCUUGCGUAUGCAACAUGCAAGUUCAAUAUUGGCAUUAGAUUCAGUUCUUGUACAUAUGUCCUAGUGUUCACAUUUCUUCGGGUAAAAGUUUAUUUUAGUUCAA
Molecule: long non-coding RNA, 2954 nt
Organism: Triticum dicoccoides
Lineage: Eukaryota; Viridiplantae; Streptophyta; Magnoliopsida; Poales; Poaceae
Exons: 7
Source: RefSeq, a predicted model, not a curated record